ACCCGCUGAACUUAAGCAUAUCAAUAAGCGGAGGAAAAGAAACCAACAGGGAUUGCCUCAGUAACGGCGAGUGAAGCGGCAACAGCUCAAAUUUGAAAGCUGGUACUUUUAGUGCCCGCGUUGUAAUUUGUAGAGGAUGUUUCGGGUGCGGCGCCGGUCUAAGUUCUUUGGAACAAGACGUCAUAGAGGGUGAGAAUCCCGUAUGUGACUGGUUGCCUGUGCCUAUGUGAAACUCCUUCGACGAGUCGAGUAGUUUGGGAAUGCUGCUCAAAAUGGGAGGUGUAUUUCUUCUAAAGCUAAAUAUUGGCCAGAGACCGAUAGCGCACAAGUAGAGUGAUCGAAAGAUGAAAAGCACUUUGGAAAGAGAGUUAAACAGUACGUGAAAUUGUUGAAAGGGAAGCGCUUGCAAUCAGACUUGCGCGGCGUCGAUCAGCCUGGGUUCUCCCUGGUGUACUCGGCGCCGCUCAGGCCAGCAUCAGUUUCGGCGGUGGGAUAAAGGCUUAGGGAACGUGGGUUGCUUCGGUGACCGUUAUAGCCCUAGGUGCAAUGCCGCCUGUCGGGACUGAGGACCGCGCUUCGGCUAGGAUGCUGGCGUAAUGGUUGUAAGCGACCCGUCUUGAAACACGG
RNAcentral lists this ribosomal RNA (627 nucleotides) under uncultured fungus. Its description in RNAcentral is "eukaryotic LSU rRNA". It matches the Rfam family "Eukaryotic large subunit ribosomal RNA", at positions 23 to 664 of the family's 3401-position model. The record is from RNAcentral. Lineage: Eukaryota; Fungi.